Molecule: ribosomal RNA, 489 nt
Filed under: uncultured bacterium
Lineage: Bacteria
Description: partial 16S ribosomal RNA
Rfam family: Bacterial small subunit ribosomal RNA
Source: RNAcentral
GACGAACGCUGGCGGCGUGCUUAACACAUGCAAGUCGAACGGAAAGGCCCCCGUCUGGGUGGGGGUGCUCGAGUGGCGAACGGGUGAGUAACACGUGGGUGAUCUGCCCUGUACUUCGGGAUAAGCUUGGGAAACUGGGUCUAAUACCGGAUAGGACCAUGGUUUAGUGUCUCAUGGUGGGAAGAUUAUUGUUUUGGUUCAGGAUGUGCUCGCGGCCGAUCAGCUUGGUGGGGGGGUCAUGGCCUACGAAGGCGUCGACAGGUAGCCGGCCUGGGAGGGUGGGCAGCCGCUUUGAGACUACGAUCCGGCCCAGGGUGACACGGGAGGGACCCGGAGGGAAUCUUGAAGCAGGGGCGGGAGACAGAUGCCGAGGGGCCGCGUCGGGGAUGACGGCUUUCGGGUUGUAAACUACUUUCGUUAGGGACGAAGCCGCACUUUUUUUGGGUGUGGUGACGGUACCUUUGUGAAGAAGCCCCGGCUAACUACGUG